UGAUUGUGCCACUGCACUGCAGCCCAGAGGACAAAGUAAGACCCUGUCUCUGAAAAAAAAACAAAAAAGAGAACAAAAAGGAAUAUAACCAUGUACUAUUUGUAUGAUAAAAAAUAAAUUUAAAUUGCCUCUUAUUUUAAAGAGAGCCUACCAAAUUUAAUUUUAAAAUGACCAUACAAUUGCAAUCAACAGUGGUUGAUUUGGGGCAUGGAGGAGAAAUAUCUUUCCUCAGAGGUACCGACCUCAAAAUUCUGGACCAAGAAGGAUCUUACAAUGCAGUUAGCUUUUUGUCAUAUUUGGAGAGAAUAUACUCACAGUUUCUCAGUCCAACUGUAUGCUUUCCAUACAUUUCCAUCAAUGUAAGAAAUAUAGUUUCCUUGGAAAUUUCUGUGAAGAAACACAGUUUAUAUCCUUGAAUAGGUAGGAAAACAAUGAACACGAUAAGUAAAAGAAUCAUUGCAACCUUGUUGGGGAUAUUCAGAAACAGAAAAUAACACCUGCUUUCUCAUUUCCAGAGCUAUCAGCUUCCCAGUUUGCACAAUUCAUCAAGAAAUUAUGCGGGGUCACUGGCACAAAUGAUGAGGCAUCUCCUGGAAGCUUAACUUCUUAUCCAUCCCAUCUCUUGGACAGAUGAUGCCAGUUAAUUACUUUGAAUGCUCCUCCACCAAGCCAAGGCCAGACUCCUGCAAUCAUAGGAUGGCAACACCACCUCUAAAGCACAGAACUUCAGGCUUUGCUUCGGAAGUGGCACCAUGGUCUCUUCAUUUUCCCUUUCUUCAAGGUCAGAAAACUGAAGCUGUUAGGAGUUUUAGUGUUAAGUUCCUUCCGAGGAUGUUAAUUAGGCUUCAAACUGUUUUGUUCUGAGAAAUAAAAACUAAACUCCAGUCAUUCAAGCUAA
Homo sapiens (human) is the source of this 898-nucleotide long non-coding RNA. RefSeq lists it as uncharacterized. The transcript has 2 exons. The record is from RefSeq and is a predicted model, not a curated record. Lineage: Eukaryota; Metazoa; Chordata; Mammalia; Primates; Hominidae.